AAAUUGAAGAGUUUGAUCAUGGCUCAGAUUGAACGCUGGCGGCAGGCCUAACACAUGCAAGUCGAACGGUAACAGGAAGCAGCUUGCUGCUUUGCUGACGAGUGGCGGACGGGUGAGUAAUGUCUGGGAAACUGCCUGAUGGAGGGGGAUAACUACUGGAAACGGUAGCUAAUACCGCAUAACGUCGCAAGACCAAAGAGGGGGACCUUCGGGCCUCUUGCCAUCGGAUGUGCCCAGAUGGGAUUAGCUAGUAGGUGGGGUAAAGGCUCACCUAGGCGACGAUCCCUAGCUGGUCUGAGAGGAUGACCAGCCACACUGGAACUGAGACACGGUCCAGACUCCUACGGGAGGCAGCAGUGGGGAAUAUUGCACAAUGGGCGCAAGCCUGAUGCAGCCAUGCCGCGUGUAUGAAGAAGGCCUUCGGGUUGUAAAGUACUUUCAGCGGGGAGGAAGGGAGUAAAGUUAAUACCUUUGCUCAUUGACGUUACCCGCAGAAGAAGCACCGGCUAACUCCGUGCCAGCAGCCGCGGUAAUACGGAGGGUGCAAGCGUUAAUCGGAAUUACUGGGCGUAAAGCGCACGCAGGCGGUUUGUUAAGUCAGAUGUGAAAUCCCCGGGCUCAACCUGGGAACUGCAUCUGAUACUGGCAAGCUUGAGUCUCGUAGAGGGGGGUAGAAUUCCAGGUGUAGCGGUGAAAUGCGUAGAGAUCUGGAGGAAUACCGGUGGCGAAGGCGGCCCCCUGGACGAAGACUGACGCUCAGGUGCGAAAGCGUGGGGAGCAAACAGGAUUAGAUACCCUGGUAGUCCACGCCGUAAACGAUGUCGACUUGGAGGUUGUGCCCUUGAGGCGUGGCUUCUGGAGCUAACGCGUUAAGUCGACCGCCUGGGGAGUACGGCCGCAAGGUUAAAACUCAAAUGAAUUGACGGGGGCCCGCACAAGCGGUGGAGCAUGUGGUUUAAUUCGAUGCAACGCGAAGAACCUUACCUGGUCUUGACAUCCACGGAAGUUUUCAGAGAUGAGAAUGUGCCUUCGGGAACCGUGAGACAGGUGCUGCAUGGCUGUCGUCAGCUCGUGUUGUGAAAUGUUGGGUUAAGUCCCGCAACGAGCGCAACCCUUAUCCUUUGUUGCCAGCGGUCCGGCCGGGAACUCAAAGGAGACUGCCAGUGAUAAACUGGAGGAAGGUGGGGAUGACGUCAAGUCAUCAUGGCCCUUACGACCAGGGCUACACACGUGCUACAAUGGCGCAUACAAAGAGAAGCGACCUCGCGAGAGCAAGCGGACCUCAUAAAGUGCGUCGUAGUCCGGAUUGGAGUCUGCAACUCGACUCCAUGAAGUCGGAAUCGCUAGUAAUCGUGGAUCAGAAUGCCACGGUGAAUACGUUCCCGGGCCUUGUACACACCGCCCGUCACACCAUGGGAGUGGGUUGCAAAAGAAGUAGGUAGCUUAACCUUCGGGAGGGCGCUUACCACUUUGUGAUUCAUGACUGGGGUGAAGUCGUAACAAGGUAACCGUAGGGGAACCUGCGGUUGGAUCACCUCCUUACCUUAAAGAAGC
This 1554-nucleotide ribosomal RNA is filed under the name Escherichia coli. Its description in RNAcentral is "bacterial SSU rRNA". It matches the Rfam family "Bacterial small subunit ribosomal RNA". Lineage: Bacteria; Pseudomonadati; Pseudomonadota; Gammaproteobacteria; Enterobacterales; Enterobacteriaceae. The record is from RNAcentral.